RNAcentral lists this ribosomal RNA (509 nucleotides) under uncultured organism. Its description in RNAcentral is "bacterial SSU rRNA". It matches the Rfam family "Bacterial small subunit ribosomal RNA", at positions 416 to 917 of the family's 1533-position model. The record is from RNAcentral.
CUAUGGGAUGUAAUACGCUCAUAUAAGGGACAUAAAGUGAGACCUUGUGAGCUUAUAAGCACGUGCUUUAUGAAUAAGGAGCCGUCUAAUUCCGUGCCAGCAGCCGCGGUAAUACGGAAGGUCAGGGCGCUAUCUGGAUCUAUGGGGUUUAAAGGGAGAGUAGGCCGGAGAUUUAGGGUGCAGUGAAAUGUAGAUGCUUAUCAUAAGCACUGCAGCUCGAAGUGGUGUCGGGGAGUACGCACAAAGUCGGCGGAAUCAGAGGGAUAGCGCGAUGAAAUGCUUAGAUAUCAUGAAGAACUCCGAGAGCGUAAGGCAGGUCAAUGCGAGGGCAACUGAUGUUGAAGCUGGAAAGUGAUGGUAUAGAACAGGAAUAGAUAGCUUGGUAGUACUCACGGUAAACGAUGGAUCCAUGAUCAAGGUCAGAAUAGGUGCACGCGGCCAAGCGAAAGCAUUAAGCAUCCCACCUGGAGAGUGCGCCGGCAACGAUCCAAGUCAAAGGAAUGGAUGCA